This 253-nucleotide ribosomal RNA is filed under the name uncultured bacterium. RNAcentral's name for it is "partial 16S ribosomal RNA". It matches the Rfam family "Bacterial small subunit ribosomal RNA", at positions 524 to 776 of the family's 1533-position model. The record is from RNAcentral.
UACGUAGGGACCAAGCGUUGUUCGGAAUUACUGGGCGUAAAGGGCGCGUAGGCGGCCUAACAAGUCACUUGUGAAAUCUCCGGGCUUAACUCGGAACGGCCAAGUGAAACUGUCAAGCUAGAGUGCAGAAGGGGCAAUUGGAAUUCUUGGUGUAGCGGUGAAAUGCGUAGAUAUCAAGAGGAACACCUGAGGUGAAGACGGGUUGCUGGGCUGACACUGACGCUGAGGCGCGAAAGCCAGGGGAGCAAACGGG